ACGUAGGUGGCAAGCGUUGUCCGGAUUUAUUGGGCGUAAAGCGAGUGCAGGCGGUUCAAUAAGUCUGAUGUGAAAGCCUUCGGCUCAACCGGAGAAUUGCAUCAGAAACUGUUGAACUUGAGUGCAGAAGAGGAGAGUGGAACUCCAUGUGUAGCGGUGGAAUGCGUAGAUAUAUGGAAGAACACCAGUGGCGAAGGCGGCUCUCUGGUCUGCAACUGACGCUGAGGCUCGAAAGCAUGGGUAGCGAACAG
RNAcentral lists this ribosomal RNA (251 nucleotides) under uncultured bacterium. RNAcentral describes it as "partial 16S ribosomal RNA". It matches the Rfam family "Bacterial small subunit ribosomal RNA", at positions 525 to 775 of the family's 1533-position model. RNAcentral also lists the same sequence under 1 other name. The record is from RNAcentral.